This 403-nucleotide ribosomal RNA is filed under the name Fusobacteriota bacterium. Its description in RNAcentral is "Fusobacteria bacterium partial 16S ribosomal RNA". It matches the Rfam family "Bacterial small subunit ribosomal RNA", at positions 355 to 776 of the family's 1533-position model. The record is from RNAcentral. Lineage: Bacteria; Fusobacteriati; Fusobacteriota.
UGGGGAAUUUUGCACAAUGGAGGAAACUCUGAUGCAGCGACGCCGCGUGAGUGAUGAAGAUCUUCGGAUUGUAAAACUCUGUCCUUAGUGAAGAUAAUGACAGUAACUAAGAAGCAAGCCCUGGCUAAAUACGUGCCAGCAGCCGCGGUAAUACGUAUGGGGCAAGCGUUGUCCGGAAUUAUUGGGCGUAAAGGGUACGUAGGCGGUUUAAUAAGUCCUAAUUAAAAGGCUAUGGCUCAACCAUAGUAUGGUUAGGAAACUGUUGAACUUGAGUAGAUGAGGGGAAAGAGGAAUUCCAUGUGUAGCGGUGAAAUGCGUAGAUAUAUGGAGGAACACCAAUGGCGAAGGCAACUUUCUGGAAUCAAACUGACGCUGAGGUACGAAGGCGUGGGGAGCAAACAGG